UUAUAGGGAAUUAAAUACAAUAAAAUAAAGCAUCCUACUGAGGUCAGACAUCUGAGAACAACAGGUUAGUCAAAUCCUCAUUCCUGUGAAAUUUACCAAGGGGCUUUUAAAAUGGCCAAACGUUAAAGUAUCUAGCAUGAUGCUUGAAAUAUAAUAUGUGGAAAUACACUAAACUAAAAUGACCCUGUCCAGUCUCAUGGCUUCAAAUACCAGCCCCAUGCUAAUGAUCAAAUUUUCUAUGCAUUCAAAUCUCCCGAACUCAGAUUUAGAUAUCUAACAUCUCUACUGGUUUCUUCACCUGUUUCCCACAUCAAACUUCUUUCUUUUCUUAAUCCAUUUCCCCCCACCUUUUCCAUUAUAUUAAUCAUAAUUAAAUAGGGACGUUUGGCUCAGGCUCUGAAAUUUGACUCACAUCCCAUGUCAAAUUCAACACCAAAUCCUCUCAACUCUACUUUAAAAAUAUUUUCAAAAUAUGACCACUUCUCUCCACUACAACUCUAGCUCAAAUCAUCCUAUCUUUUUCCUAGGUGAUUGCAAUAACAUCUCACUACCUGGAUCUACUCUUUGUCCUAUAGUCAAUUCUUAUCUCAGCAGACAGCAGACUAUUAAAGCUGUGAACCAUAUCAGCCUCUAUUGCCUUCUGUAGCUUCCAUUUCACCUCCAUAGAAAUCUCCACGAUGACAUCUAAGACUCUCUAUGGUUGGUCCCUCUUCUUGCCUUACAACUAAAAACUCUUCUACCAUUUCCACGGUAUUCACUCUGCUGUAGCAGGGAGACCUAUUUGCUGUCCCUUAAACAAAGCAGAUGUCUUUCUCCUCUGGUCUUUGCAUUUGCUGGUCCUAUUACUAGCAGUGUUAUUUUUUACAUCCACUUGAUGACUUCCCUCAUCUCCUUCAAGUCCUUGAUGGAGAAUGUUCUUAUACAGUAAGGACGUACCUGGCAACCAUAUUUAAAACAGAAUCUUCAGUCCCAUGUCCAGAACUCUUUAUGCGCCUUCUCUGUUUUAUAAUAGUUUGAGAAAAUCAGUAAGUGUUUUGGGGACACAGCACUUACCACCACCUGACAUAAUUAGGCAUAAAACUGUAUUUCUUAAUUAUUUUCUUUCUUAUAUAUUUGUUUGCCUUUCAUCAUCUAAGCAUUUAGCAGAAGUUGUCUAUGUUAUUCACCAUGGUAUUCCUAAUUCCUUAAAAAGUGUUGGAUAUAAAACAAACAUACAUUGAACAUUUGUUGAAUAAAAGAAUUAUAUGUAAAAUUACGGUCAAGAAUUUUUCGAGGGGAAAACUCUUAUCCUCUAAACACAUUUAUUUGGAUACCUGGUAAAUUAUACUAUAAUUAACUUGGGAAAUAAACUUGUUCCUCUUAUGUUAAUUGAGGGAAGCUUUGGCAGGAGCAUUCUGCUUCAUCUCCAAGUAUUUUAAUCAAAGCCUAUUGUUAUUUUUUUCAAAUAUGACAACCCUAUGGGACCCACCGAGCUGAAGAUUAGUGAAGAUUAGCUGGGACACCCAGUUCCUGUUCUCAUUGUGGAGUGCCAGAUUUCCUGGGCAAACAGUCAAAAAGAAGCAUUGGAGAAGACACUUGAUGUCACAUUAAUGAAAGGGAAUAAUGGAUUAAGGAAAGCUUGGUAGCAAAAAGAAGUUAAAAUAUAUCUGAGAAAAGUAUUUUAAACCAUAAAUAACUUGUAAGUAUCUGCAAAUAUAUGUUUAUUAUAAAAUAUUCAAAUAAGAGAAAUGUAUAGAAAAAAAC
This 1743-nucleotide long non-coding RNA is filed under the name Homo sapiens (human). Its description in RNAcentral is "HSALNT0205380". Lineage: Eukaryota; Metazoa; Chordata; Mammalia; Primates; Hominidae. The record is from RNAcentral.